Molecule: ribosomal RNA, 253 nt
Filed under: uncultured bacterium
Lineage: Bacteria
Description: partial 16S ribosomal RNA
Rfam family: Bacterial small subunit ribosomal RNA
Source: RNAcentral
ACGGGUGAGUAACGCGUGGGUAACCUGCCUCAUACAGGGGGAUAACAGUUAGAAAUGACUGCUAAUACCGCAUAAGCGCACAGUACCGCAUGGUACGGUGUGAAAAACUCCGGUGGUAUGAGAUGGACCCGCGUCUGAUUAGCUGGUUGGUGAGGUAACGGCUCACCAAGGCGACGAUCAGUAGCCGGACUGAGAGGUUGAACGGCCACAUUGGGACUGAGACACGGCCCAGACUCCUACGGGAGGCAGCAUG